AAAUGAAUAGACGGGGGCCCGCACAAGCGGUGGAGCAUGUGGUUUAAUUCGAUGCAACGCGAAGAACCUUACCAAGGCUUGACAUGGAAAUGACCACUUCAGAGAUGAGGUUUCCCCUUUUGGGGCAUUUCACACAGGUGGUGCAUGGUUGUCGUCAGCUCGUGUCGUGAGAUGUUGGGUUAAGUCCCGCAACGAGCGCAACCCCUACGUUCAGUUGCCAGCGGGUAAAGCCGGGUACACUGGAGGGACUGCCGUGGAUAACACGGAGGAAGGUGGGGAUGAUGUCAAAUCAUCAUGCCCCUUAUGUCUUGGGCUACACACGUGCUACAAUGGUCUUUAAACAAAGUGAAGCAAAGCGGUGACGCGGAGCUAAUCACGAAACAGGACCCCAGUUCGGAUUGCAGGCUGCAACCCGCCUGCAUGAAGUUGGAAUCGCUAGUAAUCGCGAAUCAUCAUGUCGCGGUGAAUACGUUCCCGGGCCUUGUACACACCGCCCGU
This 498-nucleotide ribosomal RNA is filed under the name uncultured bacterium. RNAcentral's name for it is "bacterial SSU rRNA". It matches the Rfam family "Bacterial small subunit ribosomal RNA", at positions 903 to 1397 of the family's 1533-position model. The record is from RNAcentral.